AUCGCUUCUCGGCCUUUUGGCUAAGAUCAAGUGUAGUAAUUAUGCCAUACAAAUUGGGUUGCACAAUUCUAUUUUCUAUUUUAUCUUAUUAUUGAGGGGACUAGGGCACUCACA
RNAcentral lists this small nuclear RNA (114 nucleotides) under Mus musculus (house mouse). RNAcentral describes it as "U2 spliceosomal RNA". It matches the Rfam family "U2 spliceosomal RNA". Rfam says of the family: U2 is a small nuclear RNA (snRNA) component of the spliceosome (involved in pre-mRNA splicing). Complementary binding between U2 snRNA (in an area lying towards the 5' end but 3' to hairpin I) and the branchpoint sequence (BPS) of the intron results the bulging out of an unpaired adenosine, on the BPS, which initiates a nucleophilic attack at the intronic 5' splice site, thus starting the first of two transesterification reactions that mediate splicing. Lineage: Eukaryota; Metazoa; Chordata; Mammalia; Rodentia; Muridae. The record is from Rfam by way of RNAcentral.